GAAAGUAAUAAAGGGCGUAUGGGGGAUGCCUAGGCUCUUGGAGGCGAAGAAAGACGUGGUAAG
This 63-nucleotide ribosomal RNA is filed under the name Alistipes onderdonkii. Its description in RNAcentral is "partial 23S ribosomal RNA". Lineage: Bacteria; Pseudomonadati; Bacteroidota; Bacteroidia; Bacteroidales; Rikenellaceae. The record is from RNAcentral.